GCAGUAGUGGCCGAGUGGUUAAGGUGAUGAACUAGAAAUCCACAUCCCCACACAGGCUCGAAUCCUGUCGACUGCG
RNAcentral lists this transfer RNA (76 nucleotides) under Ixodes scapularis (black-legged tick). It matches the Rfam family "tRNA". From Rfam's summary of the family: Transfer RNA (tRNA) molecules are approximately 80 nucleotides in length. Their secondary structure includes four short double-helical elements and three loops (D, anti-codon, and T loops). Lineage: Eukaryota; Metazoa; Arthropoda; Arachnida; Ixodida; Ixodidae. The record is from Rfam by way of RNAcentral.